UGAGAAUUUAGAAUUUAGGGUUUUAGAGUUAACAUAGGUGGAUAAGUUUUGUUUUUUUUAUCUUGAUUAGUUUUUUAAUUUGACCGGUUUAUGUUAUAGCAAUUAGAAAGUCCAUAUCAGAUGCCACGUCUAUUGUGAAUGAUGACCCACUCAAAAUAUGUUACGUGACCAAUCUGGGUCCACUCUUGCAUAAAAAUUAGU
This 201-nucleotide long non-coding RNA is filed under the name Carica papaya (papaya). Its description in RNAcentral is "long non-coding RNA (CPAP_LNC009919)". The record is from RNAcentral. Lineage: Eukaryota; Viridiplantae; Streptophyta; Magnoliopsida; Brassicales; Caricaceae.